This is a long non-coding RNA of Cygnus olor (mute swan), 322 nucleotides long. RefSeq lists it as uncharacterized. The record is from RefSeq and is a predicted model, not a curated record. NCBI's taxonomy places the organism in Eukaryota, Metazoa, Chordata, Aves, Anseriformes, Anatidae. The transcript is spliced from 3 exons.
CUGGAGAGGAACUGAUGUCUCUCUGUUAAACCAGAUGGGAACAAUUCAGACCAAACAGAAGAUCUGACUUUGCACGUGCUGGUAGGAGAUUAUUAUUUAUCACUGAGAACCUACCACUGAAAGUACAGUCCAGAUGAAUCAAAGCUGCAUGGAGAUGAAGGUCAUAAUUACUUUAACUGACUGUCUGAAAUGACGAUCAGAAGAGUCAACAUCCUCUUAAGCCACAGCAGCAAGACUCAUCUGUCAAAGCUCCAAACUGGACCAGCAAAAAAAAAUCUCAGAACACAGAUGUGCUAACAAAGCUAGUCUUUUAUGACUGGAG